Molecule: Y RNA, 95 nt
Organism: Callithrix jacchus (white-tufted-ear marmoset)
Lineage: Eukaryota; Metazoa; Chordata; Mammalia; Primates; Cebidae
Rfam family: Y RNA
About the family: Y RNAs are components of the Ro ribonucleoprotein particle (Ro RNP), in association with Ro60 and La proteins. The Y RNAs and Ro60 and La proteins are well conserved, but the function of the Ro RNP is not known.
Source: Ensembl
GUCUGGUCCAAUGGUAGUGGGUUAUCAGAACUUAUUAACGUUAGUGUCACUAAAGUUGGUAUACAACCCCCCACUGCUAAACUUGACUGGCUUAA